GGACUGGUAGCUCAACGGUAGAGCAGUGGACUCUUAAUCCAUUGGUUGCGGGUUCGAUCCCCGCCCAGUUCACCA
RNAcentral lists this transfer RNA (75 nucleotides) under Candidatus Dojkabacteria bacterium. RNAcentral describes it as "tRNA-Lys". It matches the Rfam family "tRNA". Rfam says of the family: Transfer RNA (tRNA) molecules are approximately 80 nucleotides in length. Their secondary structure includes four short double-helical elements and three loops (D, anti-codon, and T loops). Further hydrogen bonds mediate the characteristic L-shaped molecular structure. tRNAs have two regions of fundamental functional importance: the anti-codon, which is responsible for specific mRNA codon recognition, and the 3' end, to which the tRNAs corresponding amino acid is attached (by aminoacyl-tRNA synthetases). tRNAs cope with the degeneracy of the genetic code in two manners: having more than one tRNA (with a specific anti-codon) for a particular amino acid; and 'wobble' base-pairing, i.e. permitting non-standard base-pairing at the 3rd anti-codon position. The record is from RNAcentral.